GGGGAGGGGGGUGAAUUGGUGAGUUUUCAAAAUAAGAGUCUUUUCGCAAUCAUUUUCACAAAGUAUAAAACUUUACAAAUUUUCUUGAAUCGCAAGUAAUAGAAAUUUAAGUGCAGGGGAAUAUUGCAGUAGACUACGCAAAUAACAAAGUCGAAUGAAUGUAAAAGUGUAGGGAUAGAGAAUUCAAACGUAGGUUUUAAUACUGGUUCGCCCUCAAUGCCUACAUCCAGUGUCCUUGCAAUCCAGGAAGCAAAUGCAUUAUAAUGGUCAAGGUUUUUCCAGCAAGGCUUUUAUAGAGACCUCCACGUCAAAAAUAUAAAACACCUCUCUAACCCUCUAGCCAAAAUAUAGCCAAUACACACAGCAAGACUUGCAGCAAGAUAUUUCCUCUUUUACAAUCUACAACCCACUUUGAACAAUCGUCAAAGUGUACCAGACUCCACGAGUCUAUCCCUUGUAAUCACAACAGGUACAACAACAAUCACCACGGAAUGCAACACGAGCCUUGAUCAACUAAAGAACA
RNAcentral lists this long non-coding RNA (523 nucleotides) under Vigna radiata. RNAcentral describes it as "long non-coding RNA (VRAD_LNC001985)". The record is from RNAcentral. Lineage: Eukaryota; Viridiplantae; Streptophyta; Magnoliopsida; Fabales; Fabaceae.